GGUGAAAUGGCUGAAUUAUAAGCGAUAAAUUGUAAAUUUAUAAAUGAAUAUCAAAAUUCUUUCACCA
This 67-nucleotide transfer RNA is filed under the name Chrysomeloidea sp. 1 KM-2017. RNAcentral describes it as "tRNA-Tyr". It matches the Rfam family "tRNA". Rfam says of the family: Transfer RNA (tRNA) molecules are approximately 80 nucleotides in length. The record is from RNAcentral. Lineage: Eukaryota; Metazoa; Arthropoda; Insecta; Coleoptera.